RNAcentral lists this ribosomal RNA (253 nucleotides) under uncultured bacterium. RNAcentral's name for it is "partial 16S ribosomal RNA". It matches the Rfam family "Bacterial small subunit ribosomal RNA", at positions 524 to 776 of the family's 1533-position model. The record is from RNAcentral.
UACAGAGGUGGCAAGCGUUGUUCGGAAUUACUGGGCGUAAAGGGCGCGUAGGCGGCCAUCUAAGUCAGACGUGAAAUCCCCCGGCUUAACCUGGGAACUGCGUCUGAUACUGGAAGGCUUGAGUAUGGGAGAGGGAUGUAGAAUUCCAGGUGUAGCGGUGAAAUGCGUAGAUAUCUGGAGGAAUACCGGUGGCGAAGGCGGCAUCCUGGACCAUUACUGACGCUGAGGCGCGAAAGCUAGGGGAUCAAACAGG